This 432-nucleotide ribosomal RNA is filed under the name uncultured bacterium. RNAcentral's name for it is "bacterial SSU rRNA". It matches the Rfam family "Bacterial small subunit ribosomal RNA", at positions 340 to 786 of the family's 1533-position model. The record is from RNAcentral.
UACGGGAGGCAGCAGUGGGGAAUCUUGCGCAAUGGGCGAAAGCCUGACGCAGCCAUGCCGCGUGAAUGAUGAAGGUCUUAGGAUUGUAAAAUUCUUUCACCGGGGACGAUAAUGACGGUACCCGGAGAAGAAGCCCCGGCUAACUUCGUGCCAGCAGCCGCGGUAAUACGAAGGGGCUAGCGUUGCUCGGAAUUACUGGGCGUAAAGGGCGCGUAGGCGGAUCGUUAAGUCAGAGGUGAAAUCCCAGGGCUCAACCCCUGGAACUGCCUUUUGAUACUGGCGAUCUUGAGUAUGAGAGAGGUAUGUGGAACUCCGAGUGUAGAGGUGAAAUUCGUAGAUAUUCGGAAGAACACCAGUGGCGAAGGCGACAUACUGGCUCAUUACUGACGCUGAGGGCGCGAAAGCGUGGGGAGCAAACAGGGAUUAGAUACC